GCGGGUAUAGUACAUCGGUAGUACGACACCUUGCCAUGGUGUAGAGACGGGUUCGAUUCCCGUUACCCGCUCCC
This 74-nucleotide transfer RNA is filed under the name Candidatus Wolfebacteria bacterium. RNAcentral describes it as "tRNA-Gly". It matches the Rfam family "tRNA". From Rfam's summary of the family: Transfer RNA (tRNA) molecules are approximately 80 nucleotides in length. Their secondary structure includes four short double-helical elements and three loops (D, anti-codon, and T loops). Lineage: Bacteria; Candidatus Wolfeibacteriota. The record is from RNAcentral.